Molecule: ribosomal RNA, 458 nt
Filed under: uncultured bacterium
Lineage: Bacteria
Description: partial 16S ribosomal RNA
Rfam family: Bacterial small subunit ribosomal RNA
Source: RNAcentral
CCUACGGGAGGCAGCAGUGAGGAAUAUUGGUCAAUGGGCGAGAGCCUGAACCAGCCAAGUCGCGUGAGGGAGUACUGCCCUAUGGGUUGUAAACCUCUUUUGUCGGGGAGCAAAAGCCGGACGUGUCCGGCUGUGAGAGUACCCGAAGAAAAAGCAUCGGCUAACUCCGUGCCAGCAGCCGCGGUAAUACGGAGGAUGCGAGCGUUAUCCGAAUUUAUUGGGUUUAAAGGGUGCGCAGGCGGAUUUUUAAGUCAGCGGUAAAAUCGUGGGGCUCAACCCCAUCCAGCCGUUGAAACUGGGGAUCUAGAGUGUGCGAGAGGUAUGCGGAAUGCGUGGUGUAGCGGUGAAAUGCAUAGAUAUCACGCAGAACCCCGAUUGCGAAGGCAGCAUACCGGUGCACAACUGACGCUCAGGCACGAAAGCGUGGGUAUCGAACAGGAUUAGAUACCCUAGUAGUC